UACGGGGGAUGCAAGCGUUAUCCGGAUUUAUUGGGUUUAAAGGGUGCGUAGGCUGUGAGGUAAGUCAGCGGUGAAAUGCCCCCGCUCAACGGGGUGAAGUGCCAUUGAUACUGCCUUGCUGGAAUGCGGAUGCCGUGGGAGGAAUGUGGUGUAGCGGUGAAAUGCAUAGAUAUCACACAGAACACCGAUUGCGAAGGCAUCUCACGAAUCCGCGAUUGACGCUGAUGCACGAAAGCGUGGGUAUCAAACAGG
RNAcentral lists this ribosomal RNA (252 nucleotides) under uncultured bacterium. RNAcentral describes it as "partial 16S ribosomal RNA". It matches the Rfam family "Bacterial small subunit ribosomal RNA", at positions 524 to 776 of the family's 1533-position model. The record is from RNAcentral.